AGAAUUUUAUAUAUAUAUAAUUCUAUUAAUUUUUAUAAUUAUAAAAAUAAUUUUUUAAAAAAUAAUAAUUAUAAAAAUAAAUUUCUAAAUGCGGUGAAUCAUUCGCCGCUUUCAUAACUCUAGUUAAAGCUAAAAGUUAUUUUAAAUGCGAUGAAUUUUUUACCGCCUUUAUUUUUUUUUUCAAUUCUUUUUAAAAGUGGUGAAUAAUUCACUGCUUUUUCUUGUCAUAAAAAAAAUUUGACGAAUGUGGUAAAUCAUUCACCGCUUUUACCACCUACAAAUAUAACGGAGACUAUAUUUACAAAUAAAAUUUUAACAGAUCUAAUUUUAAAAUUUUUUUUUUGAAGAAGACCAGGUUAGUAAAAU
Molecule: long non-coding RNA, 366 nt
Filed under: Ananas comosus (pineapple)
Lineage: Eukaryota; Viridiplantae; Streptophyta; Magnoliopsida; Poales; Bromeliaceae
Description: long non-coding RNA (ACOM_LNC014273)
Source: RNAcentral